GGGGGUGGGGUGAGGUGGUUGUUUGUAUAAUCAAACUGAUAAAUUACUGCAAUUCAAUGAUAGCCUCAUAACUGCUUUGCUAGCUUUCCCUUUGUAUUUGCUUACCAUGACCUUAACACAACUUGGAAUUUGGGGUUAGGUUGGGUGGGGUUUCUAUCUUUGUGUGAUGACAUUCUUUUAAGUGUGUCUGAAUUUAGACUAUUGGUUACACACCAUUGAUAAUUGAUAUAAUAAUUGUUGGGAUAAGCUUGUAAAUAUACCAGCAACUAAUGUGUUUGCUUUGUGUGAUGACAUUCUUUUAAGCUUUGCUGCUUAUUGUUUGCUGCAAAAAUCAUAAUAUAAAAUUUGCUCAGUUUAGAUUAGCUCAUUGUUUGUCAACCGUAUAAGGCAUUAGUAAAUUGAUAAAGCCACCAACUCACCAUUAUGUACAACUGUUUCAAUUUUCAACCCGAGAUGUAGUAUAACGCUUGUAUUUUGUUGACCGUUAUGCAAGUUAAGAAGGUUCAAUUCUAUGAGAUUAUUUUUGCGAAAAAGAACAUAUAGGCGGUGCAGUGAGUGGCACUUUCCACAUAAAAUUUCUGACUCUCCCUUUCUCAUCCCUUGUUUCAACAUUAUCGAUAAGAAAUUAAUAUGCAGACUAGCAGAAAGCUGGAUAUAAUUUCAAAGGGCUAUGCAGAGAAACUGAAUAAUAAACAGAAACAUGUUCAUGUUCUCUGAGCAGCUAGGCAUGUUCCUUACUGAUUAAAUGUGGAGUAGUUCAAGAAAUAGACGAUGAAGAACUAGACCUUACUUGAGAUGAAUUUUGAAUUGUUAUAGAUGAAUGUUCUAGGAAUCUUUUGUUACCAACAUUUUUGAAACUUAUUUACUCUCUUGAAAUGUACUAAACUUAUGCACUCAUGGGGUUGAACAUUUGCUUUAUGGAUAUUAUUUGCUUGAUGGAUAAUUAUGUAUUAUUAAUAGUUUCAUUUUA
Non-coding RNA from Nicotiana tabacum (common tobacco), 970 nucleotides. NCBI's taxonomy places the organism in Eukaryota, Viridiplantae, Streptophyta, Magnoliopsida, Solanales, Solanaceae. The record is from RefSeq and is a predicted model, not a curated record.